GGUACGGUAGCCUAGUGGUUAGAGCGUCCGGCUCAGACGCGGGAGGUAACGUGUUCGAACCCAGGUCGAGUCAUACCA
Non-coding RNA from Potamilus streckersoni, 78 nucleotides. The record is from the annotation of a GenBank genome assembly. NCBI's taxonomy places the organism in Eukaryota, Metazoa, Mollusca, Bivalvia, Unionida, Unionidae.